GACGAACGCUGGCGGCGUGCCUAAUACAUGCAAGUAGAACGCUGAAGGAGGAGCUUGCUUCUCUGGAUGAGUUGCGAACGGGUGAGUAACGCGUAGGUAACCUGCCUGGUAGUGGGGGAUAACUAUUGGAAACGAUAGCUAAUACCGCAUAAUAGCAGUUGUUGCAUGAUAACUGUUUGAAAGGUGCAAUUGCACCGCUACCAGAUGGACCUGCGUUGUAUUAGCUAGUUGGUGGGGUAACGGCUCACCAAGGCGACGAUACAUAGCCGACCUGAGAGGGUGAUCGGCCACACUGGGACUGAGACACGGCCCAGACUCCUACGGGAGGCAGCAGUAGGGAAUCUUCGGCAAUAGACGGAAGUCUGACCGAGCAACGCCGCGUGAGUGAAGAAGGUUGUCGGAUCGUAAAGCUCUGUUGUAAGAGAAGAACGAGUGUGAGAGUGGAAAGUUCACACUGUGACGGUAGCUUACCAGAAAGGGACGGCUAACUACGUG
This 495-nucleotide ribosomal RNA is filed under the name uncultured bacterium. RNAcentral's name for it is "partial 16S ribosomal RNA". It matches the Rfam family "Bacterial small subunit ribosomal RNA", at positions 28 to 507 of the family's 1533-position model. The record is from RNAcentral.